Molecule: transfer RNA, 86 nt
Filed under: Immersiella caudata
Lineage: Eukaryota; Fungi; Ascomycota; Sordariomycetes; Sordariales; Lasiosphaeriaceae
Description: Cercophora caudata tRNA
Rfam family: tRNA
About the family: Transfer RNA (tRNA) molecules are approximately 80 nucleotides in length.
Source: Rfam by way of RNAcentral
UCUUCCGUAGUAUAGUGGUCAGUAUGUGAGCUUGUCACCUAACAAAUGAUCCGCUCGAGACCCGGGUUCAAUUCCCGGCGGGAGAG